GACAUGGCAAGGAGGUCGUUGAAAUCGUUGGAGUUUGUUAGCAACAAAAAGUCAGGGACAAUCGAAAUAAAACACAUGGCGUUGCGUGAUUGGGUCUGCUCGUCUGUUGCGGAUCAAUGUUUAAAAACAGAGUUUUAGAUUCUUUUCAAUUCAUUUAGAAAUUUGUGUAAAACUCUUAAAAUCUUGAGUACUUCUCUGUGUAAAUCUCGAGUUCAUUGUUGGGAAAAAUUUUUCUACUUCACGAUCUUUUGCAAGCGAGCUACGUUUAAGUAUUUUAGGAACAUCCAUUCGGAUUAUCAUUUCAUCAAAUACAGUUUUUAUGUAUCAAUAUCCUGCAUCAAAGACAUUAUAAAGUGUCCG
This 360-nucleotide long non-coding RNA is filed under the name Brassica napus (rape). Its description in RNAcentral is "long non-coding RNA (BNAP_LNC007740)". Lineage: Eukaryota; Viridiplantae; Streptophyta; Magnoliopsida; Brassicales; Brassicaceae. The record is from RNAcentral.